GACGAACGCUGGCGGCGUGCUUAACACAUGCAAGUGGAGCGACGAACCAGGCUUCGGCCUGGGGCAAAGCCGCGAACGGGUGAGUAACACGUGGGUAACCCUGCCCCCGAUGACCGGGACCGAACCCGACGGAAACUACGGGCGUAAUACCGGAUGUGCUCGCAUCACAUCAGUGGUGUGAGCAAAGGUAAGCUUCGGCCUCCGCAUCGGGAGUGGGCCCGG
RNAcentral lists this ribosomal RNA (222 nucleotides) under uncultured bacterium. RNAcentral's name for it is "partial 16S ribosomal RNA". It matches the Rfam family "Bacterial small subunit ribosomal RNA", at positions 28 to 234 of the family's 1533-position model. The record is from RNAcentral.